This 354-nucleotide unclassified non-coding RNA is filed under the name soil metagenome. RNAcentral's name for it is "partial contains 5.8S ribosomal RNA, internal transcribed spacer 2, and large subunit ribosomal RNA". The stretch from base 1 to 120 matches the Rfam family "5.8S ribosomal RNA", at positions 35 to 154 of the family's 154-position model. The record is from RNAcentral.
GAUGAAGAACGCAGCGAAAUGCGAUAAGUAAUGUGAAUUGCAGAAUUCAGUGAAUCAUCGAAUCUUUGAACGCACAUUGCGCCCGCCAGUAUUCUGGCGGGCAUGCCUGUUCGAGCGUCAUUACAACCCUCAGGCCCCCGGGCCUGGCGUUGGGGAUCGGCGGAAGCCCCCUGCGGGCACAACGCCGUCCCCCAAAUACAGUGGCGGUCCCGCCGCAGCUUCCAUUGCGUAGUAGCUAACACCUCGCAACUGGAGAGCGGCGCGGCCACGCCGUAAAACACCCAACUUCUGAAAUGUUGACCUCGGAUCAGGUAGGAAUACCCGCUGAACUUAAGCAUAUCAAUAAGCGGAGGA